UCUGGUGCCCGCAGCCCCGGUAAUUCCAGCUCCAAUAGCGUAUAUUAAAGUUGUUGCAGUUAAAAAGCUCGUAGUUGAAUUUCGGAUUCUGUCCGUCGGUCGGGCUUCACUGUCCGCACUGGCGUGAUGGAUUCCUCCCCUCUGAAUAACCGGCAUGCCAUUAAUUUGGUGCGCCGGG
Molecule: ribosomal RNA, 178 nt
Filed under: uncultured Acaulospora
Lineage: Eukaryota; Fungi; Glomeromycota; Glomeromycetes; Diversisporales; Acaulosporaceae
Description: partial 18S ribosomal RNA
Rfam family: Eukaryotic small subunit ribosomal RNA
Source: RNAcentral